Molecule: non-coding RNA, 186 nt
Filed under: Nippostrongylus brasiliensis
Lineage: Eukaryota; Metazoa; Nematoda; Chromadorea; Rhabditida; Heligmosomidae
Description: Eukaryotic small subunit ribosomal RNA
Rfam family: Eukaryotic small subunit ribosomal RNA
Source: Rfam by way of RNAcentral
UUAAUUCGACUCAACACGGGAAACUCACGCGCCCGGAUAAGGAUUGACAGAUUGAAAGCUCUUCCUCGAUAUGGUGGUUGGUAGUGCAUGAUGGUUCGUAGUUAGAGGAGCAAUUUGUCUGGUUUAUUCCAAUAACGAGCAGAAAUAUUAAAUAAUAUCAGGCGGAUAUAUUCCAUGGGAAACGAU